RNAcentral lists this ribosomal RNA (228 nucleotides) under uncultured Bacteroides sp. Its description in RNAcentral is "partial 16S ribosomal RNA". It matches the Rfam family "Bacterial small subunit ribosomal RNA", at positions 383 to 607 of the family's 1533-position model. The record is from RNAcentral. Lineage: Bacteria; Pseudomonadati; Bacteroidota; Bacteroidia; Bacteroidales; Bacteroidaceae.
CUGAACCAGCCAAGUAGCGUGAAGGAUGACUGCCCUAUGGGUUGUAAACUUCUUUUAUAAAGGAAUAAAGUCGGGUAUGGAUACCCGCUUUGCAUGUACUUUAUGAAUAAGGAUCGGCUAACUCCGUGCCAGCAGCCGCGGUAAUACGGAGGAUCCGAGCGUUAUCCGGAUUUAUUGGGUUUAGAGGGAGCGUAGAUGGAUGUUUAAGUCAGUUGUGAAAGUUUGCGG